RNAcentral lists this ribosomal RNA (468 nucleotides) under uncultured bacterium. RNAcentral's name for it is "partial 16S ribosomal RNA". It matches the Rfam family "Bacterial small subunit ribosomal RNA", at positions 28 to 507 of the family's 1533-position model. The record is from RNAcentral.
GACGAACGCUGGCGGCGAGCUUAACACAUGCAAGUCGAACGGAAAGGCCCUGCUUUUGUGGGGUGCUCGAGUGGCGAACGGGUGAGUAACACGUGAGUAACCUGCCCUUGACUUUGGGAUAACUUCAGGAAACUGGGGCUAAUACCGGAUAGGAGCUCCUGCUGCAUGGUGGGGGUUGGAAAGUUUCGGCGGUUGGGGAUGGACUCGCGGCUUAUCAGCUUGUUGGUGGGGUAGUGGCUUACCAAGGCUUUGACGGGUAGCCGGCCUGAGAGGGUGACCGGCCACAUUGGGACUGAGAUACGGCCCAGACUCCUACGGGAGGCAGCAGUGGGGAAUAUUGCACAAUGGGCGGAAGCCUGAUGCAGCAACGCCGCGUGCGGGAUAACGGCCUUCGGGUUGUAAACCGCUUUCGCCUGUGACGAAGCGUGAGUGACGGUAAUGGGUAAAGAAGCACCGGCUAACUACGUG